RNAcentral lists this unclassified non-coding RNA (568 nucleotides) under uncultured fungus. RNAcentral describes it as "sequence contains 18S rRNA gene, ITS1, 5.8S rRNA gene, ITS2, 28S rRNA gene". Lineage: Eukaryota; Fungi. The record is from RNAcentral.
AGAGCCAGCGUUACGGCAUGAGCGGCGAUGACUCGAUCAGCUUCCUGACCCUCGACGGUUUUAACGUGACCGUCGAAGGCACGAUUGAAUACGGCAUCCAGCGCGAUUUCGCGGCGCUGCUAACCCACCGCGUCGGCGACAUGGACGACAUCAUCAAGAAGAUCAUCCUGCCCCGCGCGCGCGGAUUCAGCCGCAUCGAGGGCAGCAAACACCCGGCCAUCAACUUCAUCGUCGGCGAGACGCGCCAGGGUUUCCAGCGCGACCUCGAGACCCACCUGCGCGAGAAGUGCACCCCCUGGGGCGUGGACAUCAAAUCGGUGCUGGUCCGCAAGAUCAUCGUGCCCGACGAGAUCGCCAGCAUCAGCCGCGACCGCGAAGUCGCGGUGCAGAACGCGCUCAAGUUUGAGCAGCAGAUCGACCAGGCCCAGUCGCAGGCCGAACUGGUACGCCAGGAAAUGCUCGCCUUGCAGAACAAAGAGAAGGUGCAGUCCGACACCGAACGCAUCCGCGCGGUGAUCAACGCGCAGCAGGAAAUGUCGGUCCGCGUCAUCGCCGCGGAAAAGGAGCG